RNAcentral lists this long non-coding RNA (2459 nucleotides) under Homo sapiens (human). RNAcentral's name for it is "HSALNT0057366". Lineage: Eukaryota; Metazoa; Chordata; Mammalia; Primates; Hominidae. The record is from RNAcentral.
AAAAUAGGGAAGUCAUUGUGGUAUUAUGAUAAAGAUGUUUUAAAACAAUGACAUCUAGUUUUUUUAUAAUUAUUUAAUAAAUUUCUGAUGCUUUGAUUAAAAAAAAUCCCUAAAUGAAAUGUUAUACAGAUAGAAGUUAUUUAUUUUUACAUUGCUUAAAAAUAAUCCAUUUGUCUUAGUCCAGUUGGGCUGCUAUUACAAGUUACCAUGGAAUGUGUGGCUCACACAUAACAGAAGUUUAUUUCUCACAGUUCUGGAGGCUAGGAAGUUCAAAAUUAAGGUACGCAGAUGUGGGGUUUGGGUGAGGGUUUGCUUCUUGAUUCAUAGAUGGCUGUCUUGUUUUUGGGUCCUCACAUUGCAGAAAGGGAAAAGAAGUUCUUUGGGGUGCUUUUUAUGAGGGCACUAAUUCUGAUAAUGAGGGCUCCACCCUCAUAACCUAAUCACCUUCCAAAGGCCCUCUUCAAAGGCCUUACCAUCACAUUGGGGAUUCGGUUUCAAUAUGUACAUUUUCAGUGGGUGCACAAUCAUUGAAUCAAUAACAGAAUUUUUCAUUUUUGUCACCAGUUCCUAGGGCCUAAAAUUAUAGCCAAGGAAGCUAUAUGAAUCCUUGUAUUCAUAGACUGCCUCAAAUUUUGACUUUAUCUCCAAAUUUGCUGUCAAGAUUAAAAGAAUAAAUUUUUUGUCACAUAACUCGUGGUUGGUAUUGUGAAUGCUCAACUGUAUCCAGUUUUCCUUUUCUUCUUGACUCAGAGAAACUGCAUUUUCUACUCACCCUUCAGUCAUCAGGAAUCAGGGCCAUGAACUCGUUCUAGACUAUGGACUGUAGUGGAAGUUAAAAAUAUCACAUCUGGCCCACACAAAGUGUAAUAUCUCCAAGAGUACCUUUCCUCCAUUGCAACAACCAAGGAAUCUACCUAUUUCAAAUUCUAGAGCUAUAAAGUUGUAGAGUUUGUUUUAGCUUGGAUCACUGAGUGACAGAUUGGGAAAGACACUUUAAGUGAUAAACAAAUCUGUAUGUGUUAAACCACUGAAAUAUUCUUUGGCACAAGAGCUGUGGUUGCAUAUAGAAGUUCCAUGGAUGAACUAUAAUUGCCCAGAUGAACUGUUGAGGAACAGCUUGUAGGAAUGAAAAGAAAGUAAAGGGAAAGGAUAGGAAGAUAAAGACACAUGGCAAAGUUUUCUGGAUUUUGCCUAUCUCAUUUUAGACAGUUUACAGAAGGAAAUGAACAACAGCCUAAUUUUCAAGGAAUAGAGAUGCCAAAAGAACAGUCAAUGAGCAUGAUAGGUUAAGAACCUUUUCUACUGCUCCCUUCAGAUAGAUGCAGGUGGGAGCCAUUCAGGCAGAUGUUUUGGGGAAAGGAGGACAAAAUAUUGGAAAGCUCAGGGAAAGAAGAAAUUUGUUUUCUUUUUCCCCUAUGGGAGUGAUAUUUACUUACAUCUUCAAAGUGGGAGGAGUAUAUCCCUCUUUUGGGUCUUCAAGGAUGGUGACUUACUCUUCCUCAAUUGGUGGCUAUUUUUGAGAGACCUAGUGAUCAAAAUGCAGGUCUUAGAUUUGUGGGCCAGGUUGUUGCUAUCACUAAUAAGUUAUGGAAUGGCCUCUAGAAAAAGCCAUACCAGUUCUGCAAGUCUCUUUCUAUGUGGUCUAUAAAAAGAUGGAAAAAUGGGAUUGAGAAAGUACCCCUCAUAGGAGAUAUGCUCUUUAAGACACUCUAACACAUUGCUGCUAUAAAAUCGAUUAUAUUUUGUCAUGUGUCAACAUGAUUUUCUUGGAAUCUCCUUGACUUACAUAUGCCAAAUAUGAACCAUUAAUGAUGCCCUUAAAAAUCCAGUAAUAUUUUACUUAGGGUGUGGGGAUGGUGGUGAAAAACUUAUGAAAGGACUAGGCAUCACUUUUGAAAGUACUAGGUCUGGCGAUCUUGCUUCCUGGUGCUCCAAUUUUGGCCUGAUUUUACAAACACCGAAUAUUACCUGAGUAAUGACUGAGUAGGUAUUCAUUCAGAAACAAUACCUGUGUGGUAGAUUCUAGAUGGCUAUAAUUUUUUUUAAUAUACUACUCCAGUGAAGAGGUUGGAUGAAUAUUUUCUUUCCUUUAAGCUGGCAGGCUUUGACACUGCUUUGAACAUGCUGGAAGUGAUGAUCUGUCAGUUUCUGGUCCCAAGUCAUGAGAGAUGGACAGCUUCCACACUUCCUGUGUCUUCUUAACACUUCCUCCUGAAGUUCUGAGCCACCACCUAAGAAGUCCUGCUGCCCAGAUGGAGAGACAACUUGGAAGGGGUCUGAGACUACAUGUGGAUGGACACAGGCCCACUUGAUACCAGUGUUUUAGCCAUCCCCAUCAAACACCAGCUCAUCUUAAUACAUCAGAAGGAAGAAGGAUAUCAAUAAACUCUUGGAAGGGAAUAGGGGUAGAAAAGAAGCCCUAAACUGUUCAUAGUCUAGACACGGAAAGCUGUCAGAAG